RNAcentral lists this small RNA (5879 nucleotides) under Rattus norvegicus (Norway rat). RNAcentral describes it as "uncharacterized LOC103693572". The record is from RNAcentral. Lineage: Eukaryota; Metazoa; Chordata; Mammalia; Rodentia; Muridae.
GCAUACACGCAUGCACUCACAAAUGUUCUGUGUUUACAGAGGUCAAAAACAUGAAAUUAACAGAGGGAACUAGGGCAAGAAUCAUAAAAUGGCUGGCUCUUAUUUCUAAGAAUCUUCCUUUUCAAAGGAAAUAAGUUGGUUGGCUAGCUCCUUAAGGCUGAGUGUUUCGAAACGUGGGUGUCGAGAUGAUAAUGGUAGGCUCUAAGGGUGCUUCCUAGAUGUCUGAUUGUAUGGAUGGUCAGUUGGUGUUCCUUCCCCCAAAUUCAGAGGAUGAGUCUUAACCUCCAGUAUGAUUUUAUGAGGGGGCGAUUAGGCGAUGAGGCUGGUCUGCCAUGAUGAAUUAGUGUCAUGAAAACUAACCAUCUCUCCUGGCCACAGCAGGAAUAACCAGAAGAGAGCCAUUCGCAAUCCGGAAGCAGCUCAGACACAGACACUUGAUAACAACCCUGACCUUGAUCUUUCCAACCUCUGAAGCCAUAAGAAAUAAGCAAGUGUUGUUGAAGUCAUUCUGGGUGUGCCGUUGGGAUGAUUGGAGCUGGAACACCAUGAGGAUGCCUCUGGAAGGAGUCUUGCUUAUCUGAUUUCCAAGAGUUAUCCCCUAAAAGUCCAGAGGCAAACCUCGAAGAAGAUGCUACGUGAGGUAGGUUACAGCCUGGUGAGUAACGUCCCAAAUGCGGCAUGAGAAAACCUCAUCUUUGCAGAAAAACUGAAAUGCAAUGUUAGGAAAAAGUCUUUUAGGAAAAAAAAGUGGGCAUAAAAUUAUUCCUCUAGUAUUUAAAAAACCCAAAUUAUUCAUUUAUUUUUGUAUCUGAGAUGUUUGACAUUUGUGUGGAUAUUAUUUUUGAAACAAGGAAUGAAUGCAGACAGUUGGGGGCCAAUAAUGAACAAUUGGACUAAAAGCCAUAACCGUGAGCUUAGGGGUACCCCAGGAAUGGUGCUGUUAUUGUGAAAAAUAAGUGUUUUGAAAAAUAACUUGAAAUUCUUAAGAUAGAUCUACCAUUUACAAUUCCACGUGACUGCCGUGGUCGAAGUAGGAUUGACUCGUUAGUCUCCAUGGCUCCAGUCUCUGAAGGUAUGGGUAUUUAGUGUAUGGAAAGCCUUUGGAAGAUAAUUCUCUACCAGUGUGCAGUGAGUCCCCAGUUAAAGUGCUAUAAUAGUGUAGGCUUUCUCAAUUUCCUGUCUGGCAUGAGAGCAGCUUCAUUCCAUAAACAUCAUCAUUAGUAGAAGAGGGGAAAAAAUAAAUGGAGAAACUUGAGACUGUCCAGUGAGUGAGCUCUGCUGUAGGAUGCGGACUGGAUAUCUACCCUGAGGAUGAAGUAGCAGAAAGUUUGCCACGUCUGAUUAUAAAGUGGGCUCUUUUGUAGCCGUUUUCCUGAACCCCUGGAAUAAAGAGGGUUGAUUUGUGAUGGAAUCUCCAGUGCCUGCAGGCAUAUAUUACAGUAUGUUGUAAAUCCAGAGGGUACAAUUUAGAUUUCACGGGGGCCUGGGGGGUAAUUGAAAUUCCAUCUGUUUCUUCCCUGUGGGUUAGAAUCCUAAGACACGCACUCAGGAGAAGAUAUAGGAUUUGCAGUUUUUAAUUUUUAGGUUUAAGUAGAAGCUCACCUAAAUCUGUUCCUCCCUCCUUUUACAUCCUACGUUCAGUUUAAAAAAGAAGAAAAAGAAGAAAGGAAAAAAACUCAGUUUUAAAAGCAGCCAGCCUUUAUUUUCUUCACAGCUGCCCCUAGGCAGCCCCCCUUCCUUGCAGUGCAUGCUGGGUAAUGCCAUGUAUUCUUAGGUUUCCAAUGGCUCCCAUUACUGUCAAUUAGUUACGGAAUGCUACAGAGAUUCAUGCCUGACAGCUCGGGUAAAGGCAGGAGAAAUGGGCUCAGUAGGGAGCGAGGGGCCUGAUUCUUUUUUGUCCACAAGAAAUACCUUUCUCAGCAAGGCUUUUAAUGGCUUUCUCUUCUUUCUUUUCCUCUGCCUGGGCACUCCCCAUGAUCCUAACACACACCAUAUACACAUACACUCAUAUAUUCAUAUGUCAAUGUGUUUGUGUGAAUAUCACAGAAGACUGUGAAAGCUCUUGGGGCAGAAGGCUCUGAAGUAGUUAUACAACCCCUUAGAGCGAGCUUUACAUUCCUACUUAGAUCUUGCUCUGACCAGAUUCCUAACUCGGGUCCCUUCAGGUGACUUGUUCCUAAGUGCUGUCCCAGCCUCUGUUUCACUUGAUAUCAUUUUCUUUGGCAUCUCUCUGACUUCUAAAGGAGAAGCACGUUCAGGCCACAGAUCAUGGGCAGAGCACUGGGCUUCAAUUCCUGGAGUUUAGGCAGCGAAUUCUGCCUGACCAUCCCCACCACUCCCAUGACCUUUAACUUCUUUUUCUCCCUCUUCUUUUUUCUCUUCUUUUGUGACAUCUCCUUUCCCUCCUUGGAAUCACAGAGGACAUUGUUACUCAGGAGAUUUUUCUUUGACUCCUGUAUCAUCUUUUCCUCCCUUCCUGACUUGCCUAAUAUUUAUCCUAACACAUUUUCUGUCACUUUAGCAUUCACUCUCUCACCAUGAGCUUGGAACACCUGACCUGGGUAUUUGAAUAGAUUCCUCCCUCUCCUCAAAUAUAUUUGAGCUUAAAUGCGACCAACACGGAGAGUUCUUCCUGUGUGAAUGGGAGCUGAUGGUGCUAGGAGCCACAAUUCCUGCUCUGUUGUCCCUCCCAUGGCCCCAUGUUCUCUCCAGAGCCCAACGUAUUGUCUAAAGCUGUAUUCCUCAUCUAUAUAUUCCAAUCUCAUUUAUUAUAGCGAGACUUCUUUAAGACAAAUGAUUGUCUUGUUCAACAAACAAACCACAUCUAGGAAUACCACCAUCCGCAAGCAGGAGUUCAAUAAUGCGGCUUAAAAACAGAUUGAAAUGUGUUUUCAGAAUUAUGGAAAACCUGCAUUAGACCAGAAGACUUUUCUUCUUCUGAGUCUGCUGCCAUUGCUCUUUUAUACGAGCCACCAGACCUUCCUCAUGAUUCAAAACAAAGAAAGGUUUAGGAAAGACCUGAUAGGAAAAUACCAGAUGCUAAUAAAACACAAUGAGCACAAUGCUUAAAGUCGUCUGUUCACCCAGAUGGAUACGAAAGCAAGGAUGGGCUAAAAAUAGCAGGAGAUGACACACUGGAGAAGACACGGCCUGCAGCCAUGUGUGCCUGGGUUAUUCAUAGUCUCAGCUCCUUCCUUCCUGGAACCUGGCCUAGUGAGGGACUCACCAAAGGCUGGCAGAGGGAGACAGUCCUAUUCUGUCUCAUCCAGCCAUCUGUGGAAGGCAGAGUAGGGAGGCCCAAGAAAAGGGUAUUGUGGUAGAAGAAAUUAGGGCCAGGUUCUUGGGCCUUAGAGCCCAAGAGUUAGGCUGCAAGCUUUUAUUUCCUGGGUAUUGUAGUCAGGGAACUACUGAGAAGACCCUAUUCAGAAGGGUUUGACAGAAAACUGUCGAGGCUUUACACUGUCAACACAUUUGAGUUCUUACUAAUGAUACCAUCUGAAGUAAGUAGCCAAUGCUACCUCAAAAGCAAAUCUGCUGUAGUUCUCUGUCCUUCAAACUCUAAUAUGCCAACAGCUGACAUGGCAGCUCACUAAAAAGGCGAUUCUGAGAAGGAUCUUGAGGCUCCACAUUUGGAAGACAUUCUCCAGAGAUACCCUUGUUGCCAGUCCACUGACUCUCAAGUCGUAAGAUAUCACUUUACCAUCCUGUCACACAUUAAAAAGUGAUUUGUAAUGAUAAAUUGUCUUUAACCCGAAUUAAAUAAGCAAUAGUCAUUAUCAUAUCUGUAAUUCUACAGAUCAAAAAAAGAAGAUGUAUUUGUAUCUACGGUCCAUGCAUUUUUUUAAGAUAAGCUAAUCUAGGAAGAGCUAUGAAAUAAUAACACACAGCCUAGAUGUACUAAUGUGGUUUAUCCAGUGGAUUUUAUGUAUAGACGAGGCAGAAAUUAUUAAAUGAGUUUUCCUCUCCAAUGGAUUUGUUUUCACAUGAAAAACACCAAUGGCACUGAGUGGUGAAUGAGGUCGGUUGGAGAACAGUCUUGCUGUCUACCCAGCUCCUACUUUCUUGAAGUUAUCGAAGGAAGGUCACACGGGCUGCACCCUGGACAUGGAGACGUGGAACAGAGAGAAGUUGAACUGAUUCUCUCACAUUGUAAGACUUGAAAGUUAACGCUCAUUACCCUGCCCAGAAUGAGACAGGAAGGCGAUACCUAUCUACCUUCUGGGCCAGCGGUGGAACACUGUGCUGGGCGUGGCAAGCUGGGCUAGGAGGCAGAGACAAGAUGCUCUGUGAGAGAUGAAAGUUACAGCCCUCAAGGAGAAGGCACCCAACGAGAUGCCAGCCCCACAGCUCAUUGACUGCGAAUGCAGGAAGAAGUCUGAGGAGUGCCUUCUGUGACUGACAGGGGGGUCUCUCAUUCUGGACUGAUCUCUCCCUUUCAUCCUCAUACUCAAGAUGCCAUGCCACCUCAGGCCACUCAACCCUGGGAGAAGGGCUGGCUCUGCCAUUUUUUGGUGUGUGACUUGACCAAGUUGCUUGGGACAGAGGAACCUCAUUUCCCUCAUGCAACAGAGUGAGAUGCUCAUAGGGAGAGCGCCUGGAAUAAGCAACUGCAGGACAUUCCUGUCUUUCAUCUCUCCAAUCUAAAGACAAAACCUGGGUCAAUGAAAUGGCUCAGCAGGUAAGGACAUCUGCUGACAACUACUAAGCCAGCAAGCUGGACAGCAGGAAUUUGAUCCUUGGAACCCAUGUCCCGAAUCUAUGAACUACUGAAGAGUGGGAAAUUGGUUGAAUGGCCACAUAUCUCUAUUGUACAGAUUCCACUCAGUUUGGUUGAACAAACCUGAAACUCCUCUGAAUUUACAAGGUGAGACCCCAGUAGACUGUACUGUCCAUCUCUUAAGCUUUAGGGCCACUGCAGUGGUGACUAAUAAAGCCACCGAAGUGAGCUACCAGACAAUAGUAGAUUCUUUCUUUCCCACCAUUACGCUUACUGCCUUGGUCCUAUUGCCUGUGACUGAGACUAUAUCCCCUUUGGUUUUGGUGAUUAAUUCUGCCUCUUGAAUUCUUCCACUCCAAGAUCCAAUCAUUCACACUGAAUUCAUAAGGAAUUAACACUUAGCUCAACUCACUGCCUUACUCUGGAAUUAUUUGGACCAGUUAGACGGCACAUAAGAAGAGGUGUUUCAUAAAAACACCCCUUAGGCAUGUUUUUCUUAUAGACUAGGUAACACGAAUGUCCUCUGAAUCCUCUUGGGGGACAAGCUAGGAAGGAACAGUAUUACAAGAUAAAUCCAUGUUCAGAUUUCAUGAAACCUUCAUAUACCUUCCUCUUAAGUAUUCUAACCCAAAUGUUUUAGUCUCAGACUCUUUUGCAGUUUCAAAAAUUGCAGAGAACUCUAAAGAGAUUUGAUUUGGGUGAUAUCUACAACUACCUUAUAUGUUUUUAAAAAUUUAAAGCUGAGAUGUUCAAUAAACAGUCCAUUGAUGAAAUACCAAAAUGUACUAAGCGUUUGAAAGGUUAAUUACAAUGUGAAAUGGAUAGUACAUUGAUUCUUCCUUCUGUUGAGAUCCAUUGGUUAAUCUUGAACUUGGAAAGAUCCUUUUAUUGAUUUGUAUUUAUUUGUAACAUUAUAUUGUGGUCACUUGCAAAAUACUAGUUCACCGAGUUAUCCAGCUAUCUGAAUUGCCAACUUCUUUCAUCAUUAAAGACGAAUAUUAUUCAAGGUUAAAAGUCCCAUUUGCUAAUAUCAAAAAUUAUAAUGAUCUCAAAGCUUAUGAUGGUGGAUAUGUGUUUUCCAAAUCCCAUUUUCAGUCUGCUGGUCCAGAGGGACACAGGUUCAAUUUCCAGGACCUACAUUGAAGCCCAACUGUUGUCUUUU